UUUAAACUAGUUUUCUCCAUAUUUAACCAGCCAUGUUCCUUCUUUUUUGUUGCUAGUUCCUUGCUGCUUAGGAAAAUAGCCACAUGAAGAAACCCGAAACGGUGGAUUGCAAACCUGAGCAUCGAACCUACGACCUUCGUGCUCAGCUAUGCGAUUCUGUAACAAACACAUCAUCGAUGCUAACAACGACGAGUUCACAGAUGUCGCAUCGUAGACAUCGCUUUUAAAAACAACGUUGUCGAAAACCGUAUUCGUUUAGCUCAAAAACUCGUCGACGAUCCGCCGAACAACGAUGACGGGUAGGAUGUUUACAGUGUUGCCAAAUUUCUUGUAAAGCAAAUUAAAGUAUAAUCGAGAAAAUCUCGACUAACGUUUUUUGGCGUUAUUUCGACAUUUUAAAUCAAUGUAAAUGCUUAAUAUGUAUGUAUAAAACACAUUCUAUUCGUUAUGCAACGAAUAUUUAAUUAAUUAUAUCAUUUUCGAUAUAGAAAAUAAUGACUCAAAUUUUUGACAUUUGUUAUACUAUAGGUUAUGUAGUAUAAUAUAUAGUCUGUGUCAUUUCAAAACUUUUCAAAACCAAAACAAACAUUUUGCUCAUAAUUGGAUUAUAUCUUUAUUUGUCUAAAUACGAGAAUUCAAAGCUCCAAAUGGCUUUAAGCGGUCAAGUGGACUUUAAAAAAAGUUGUACCCCUAACCAACGGCAUUCUACUUGUCCUGUGUUUUAGUUUGUUUCCAAAACUAUCGAAAUGUCUCGCAACGCACUGCCUUCGUUGAGUCAGCUGGAAGAGCUAGUAAGCUUUUUGGAAAGCAAAUCAUGUUUGAUUAUGAGGGGCCAUCAUCAGGCACGAUCCGAAAACAACAGCCCCAUACAGUGACGCAGUGGAUGUAUGAAAAUAUUGGAGCAAUGGUGUAAGUACUGGAAGGACAAAAAGGAGCAGUUCAGAGGGAGUCCGGUUCUAUUGCAGCUGCGAGGCAACAUGAAGAAUUUGCUAGAACUCGGUGUAAUUUAGUUAAAAAUAAAUUCCAUUAUGCGAGGAGAAUGUUUUGGAAUCUGAAUUUAGAUAAAUAAAUCCAUGUUCAUUAUAAAAUACAAAAUAAUAAAAAGACAUGUUGAAUUAAAAUAUUGUUUUAUUAAUUAAUGAUUACAGAAAAGUUAAGUAUUUUUAUAAAAAUU
This is a long non-coding RNA of Helicoverpa armigera (cotton bollworm), 1174 nucleotides long. RefSeq lists it as uncharacterized. Lineage: Eukaryota; Metazoa; Arthropoda; Insecta; Lepidoptera; Noctuidae. The transcript is spliced from 3 exons. The record is from RefSeq and is a predicted model, not a curated record.